UUGGCAAAAUAAAUCAUAUUAAUAACUAUUAAAGUCAAAGAAUUGCCAAAAUUUAAAACCUUGAACGAUAUAAAGCAAGUGACCGACACUUUAUAUCUUACAAUAGAGUGAACAUGUCAUGCCGUCGACUCAAGUCAUGCCGCGAUGGCACUGCAGCUCUUCUCCAGCGCAGAAAGUCUUUUUUAUAGCGGAACAAACUAAGUUAAACUCAAAUAACCCACACUAAGUAAAGC
Molecule: non-coding RNA, 233 nt
Organism: Paramuricea clavata
Lineage: Eukaryota; Metazoa; Cnidaria; Anthozoa; Malacalcyonacea; Plexauridae
Source: the annotation of a GenBank genome assembly